This 1964-nucleotide unclassified non-coding RNA is filed under the name Monomorium pharaonis (pharaoh ant). RNAcentral's name for it is "uncharacterized LOC105832234, transcript variant X5". The record is from RNAcentral. Lineage: Eukaryota; Metazoa; Arthropoda; Insecta; Hymenoptera; Formicidae.
CCGGCAGCCGGUUACCGAUUCUACGAAAGAUACAAGUAUACAGGGUGCCACAGGGUACUCCAAAUGCAGCCUUGUGAUAUUCGUCUUAAUAAAUCUAGUUUUUGCAUUAUUGCAUUAGUUUUUUCUCCACCUAUCAGAUAUUAAUUGAUAUUUCGAAAACUAUGUUAUUCAAAUGACUCGAAACCAAAAGAAAUGGCAAGGGAUUUCUUGUAAUUCGAAUCGUCGACUUCAUUUUGGGGUUAGAAGAAGAGAAAGAUUCCCUAUAGUUUGUGGAAUGCAUCUUGUAUUACCACAGUUGUUUAACGAUAGUAUUUUUCACGUGUAACUAUACAAAACGUGUGAGUUUUAAUAAAUAACCCGUUGAGAAUGGCAACAGAACGUCAAUGUAGUUAUGAAGAAAUUUUGAAGGCAUAUCCGGAGAUGACACUUGUUUCAGAAUCGCCAGUAACAUGGCAAGGCUUUCUAGUUAUCUCGUCUUCUAUGUAUCCUGCUGGUUAUGCUAGACGUCUUCGAAUGAAGGUAAAACUAGUGGUGCCUAAUUAUCCAUCAUUCUGCAAUGCAGAAAUUAGUUUUGGCAGGCACAUUGCUUUUCUGCGAAACAAACGUUUUAGUAGAGAAGUAAAGAAGGCAAUAAGGUCUGCGCAAACAAUAGUAUCAUUUUUAACGCAAUUAGAGUCGCUCAUUCUUAAAUAUAUACAUUAUACAGAUACUAAAAUUAAUGUGUACGACUUUGAAUCCACAAGAGAGUUUCUACAAGAUAUAAAGGCAGCUCUUCAGAAUCCAUCUGAUGUGCAAUUGUCAUGUGAUCGGAAUCUAAGUACUAUCAAGUUAUCUUUAAGAGGAGUGUCCCUUACAUUGCAAAGAUGUAAAGAUGUUGGAGUUUGCUGGAAAAUAGUAUCUUCCGACAUACCUGCUAUUCCAACGUUUGAAGGUUUUGAGAGAAACUUAACUAAUUUGAGCAUUGCGAUGACUAAGUUUAAAUGGCAAGUGGAAUUAUUAGAGAGAGUAUGGGAACAAUUAAAAGAAAUUGACGAGAAUUGUUGGGUAAUUGAUCCACCGGAACCAAACAAAAGUCAUGUACACAGAUGCAUUCAUUUGUCACAAUCUAUAUCUGUGACAAUUACAAUAGAUCCGCUGAAGCCUACUGCUUUGCCGACAAUUAAAUUCUUAGGCAGUGACAACGAGGUGAAAAGACUAAGUGACGAUGUUUCUAAUAAUAUUCUUAAAUGGAAUGAAGAUGACAGUGUUUUAGAAAAUCUGAAGAUGUUGUUAAAUAUGUAUGAAUUUCCCGAGCAGCAGGACAGCUUGGAUGAUUCCAAAGGCAUUAUUGGUAAUCGUGAGUGUGGUAUAUGCUUCUCUGAAAAAUCAGAGGCCGAUGAAUUGCCGAAUAAGAUGUGCAAUAACGAAAAAUGCAUGAAACAUUUUCAUUCAGCAUGUUUAUCGAGGUGGUUGCAAACAAACGCUACGAAUCAAGUUGUGUUCCAUCAUAUCCAUGGCAAAUGCCCGCAUUGCAAGGAAAACAUUUCCUGUCCCAUUGAAUGAUACAGGUACGUGUGCUAUUGAUCUAAAUCCCGCAACAAGAUGUAUUCUUGUCAAUUCCGUUUCAUUAUCGACGAUAGCUUUAGCCACGGGAUAAAGUGCUGCUAUUCCCGAACCAAUACUAAACAUGAUGAUGUGUCUAAAACUAUUGUGACAAUGCAUUGAUUAGUGAGAAAGAUAAUUUUUACUUAUUCACACCUACGCACCUGUUAUUUUCAUACUUGAAAUCUCCGUAAGGACCUCUGAUGUCAAUUGUCCUACCAACUGAUGCAUUUUUUAAAAUUUGUUACAUUUAUUGAUUUAUAGACCCAUAAUACCUGGAUAUUCUAAACUCAUUAAGAAACAAUCUUUUGAUGCAUCGGAUAUAUCUGUGAUAACAAAUGCUUUGUAAGAUAAAAGAGAUAAUAAAUUGCCUGCAGGUUUUA